UCCCCCGUAGCUCAUCGGAAAGAGCACGUGUCUACCAAACGCGAGGUUGCGGGUUCAAGUCCCGCCGGGGGAG
Molecule: transfer RNA, 73 nt
Filed under: Gemmatimonadota bacterium
Lineage: Bacteria; Pseudomonadati; Gemmatimonadota
Description: tRNA-Gly
Rfam family: tRNA
About the family: Transfer RNA (tRNA) molecules are approximately 80 nucleotides in length. Their secondary structure includes four short double-helical elements and three loops (D, anti-codon, and T loops).
Source: RNAcentral